This is a non-coding RNA of Pelobates cultripes (western spadefoot toad), 288 nucleotides long. NCBI's taxonomy places the organism in Eukaryota, Metazoa, Chordata, Amphibia, Anura, Pelobatidae. The record is from the annotation of a GenBank genome assembly.
CAGAAAUAAAGACUAAUGCAAAUGGUGUUUUGGAGCUGCGGUCACAUAUAUUAAGAUUGCAGAAUUCCUUUCACACAAGGCACAUAACAUCUUUUGAGAGGUAGUGACAUUUCACAGCUGGGUUGAUAUGAAUUCAAGUUCUUUCUCCUCUGACUUAUUUACUUGCAAAAGAAAAUUCACCAUGGCAAUAAGCCAAAUGGGCAUGUCUCUGUAGUGUGUGAAAUGUGAGCAGCUAUAUCCUAGGCACAAUAUUUCAUCAAUUCUCCUUCCCUUAAGUCUACAUUCCAG